Molecule: long non-coding RNA, 3423 nt
Filed under: Mytilus galloprovincialis (Mediterranean mussel)
Lineage: Eukaryota; Metazoa; Mollusca; Bivalvia; Mytilida; Mytilidae
Source: RNAcentral
CGCCGGAGGAGGCCUACUCAUUUACACAAAAGAUGAUAUGUCAGUCACCAGAAAAGGUGUACUCGAAAACCACAUUGACGAAACUAUCUGGGUUGAGAUCAGAGGUAAAGGUCAAACGUUUUUAUUAUGUUGUACUUAUCGACCGGAAUGGUCAGGUGUUGAAUAUUGGACACGGCUAAAUCAUGCUAUUGAACUUGGUUAUCAGUAUACAGAAAACAUUGUGAUUUCUGGAGACUUGAAUUCAGAUUUAUUUUCGUAUAAUAAUAAUAAGUUAUAUGAUAUAAUUCAUCAAUUUAAUUUAAAAAAUGUAAUUAAUAAACCAACAAGGGUAACUGAUCACAGUAGUACUUUGCUUGAUCCGAUCAUAUUAAGUGAUGCUAUACAAUUUUCUUUUUCUGAUGUACUGAAUGUACCUGCUAACAUCAGUGAUCACGAUGCCUCUAUUAUUUUUUUACAAUGUCCAAAGUCCGAAACAAAGUCGUUUAAACGGGAAAUAUGGUUAUAUGAAAAAACAGAUGUUGAAAAGUUUUCAAAUAUGAUGAAUGCAAUUGAAUGGAACGAACUCUUUUCCAAUGUUGAGGAAGUAGACGAAAUGGUCACUAUAUUCACUGAAAAAAUCCUCAGCAUUGCAAGAGAGAGCAUUCCAACCAAAAUAGUAACUAUACGUGGUAAUGACAAACACUGGUUUAACAGUAAUAUCAGAAAAGCAAUUCGAAUAAGGGAUAGAUUACGAAAAAAAUCAAUUAAAUCUAAAAAAGAAACGGAUAUUAAUAAAUAUAAGAAACAAAGGAAUAAAGUGAAUAAUAUGAAAAAAGAAGCGAAAGAAAAUUUUGAGAAAAAACUUGGAAAAUAUAAUACUAGAUAACGCUUCAGAUUCUAAGACUUAUUGGAAAAUUAUGAAGAUGCUUAUUAAGCCAAAUAGAGGAUCUAAUAACAUACCCCCAUUAAAAAAUAUUCUUAAUGAUGAUCGUUUUGAGGAGUUCGCCGAUAGAGACGACGAGAAAUGCGACAUUCUAAAUAAGUAUUUUUGUUUCAUUUCAUCGCUAGCAGAUGUUGAUGCUCAAUUACCCGAUUUCGACAAAAAAACUAACAAUUUAUUGAAUGAUAUAGUGAUUAGUACUAGUGAAAUUGUUGAUAUCAUAAAAACUAUAAAUCCAAAAAAAGCGUCAGGCCCGGAUGUCAUUAGUCAUAAGAUGCUUAAAAUUUGUCCCGAAAAAAUUGCAAUUCCAUUAUGUAUUAUAUUUAAUAAAUCCUUGCAUCAGUGCAAAUAUCCUUCCAGCUGGAAAAUUGCAAAUGUUAUAGCCUUAUUUAAAAAGGGGGAUAGUUCAUUACCUUCCAAUUAUAGACCUAUAUCACUCAUAAGUUGCAUAGGCAAAGUCAUGGAACGUGUUGUAUAUAAAUAUGUUUACAACCACUUACAAAGAUUUAAAUUAAUUUAUGAGUAUCAAUCGGGUUUUCUUCCUAAAUGUUCAACGGUUCACCAACUGUUAGAAAUAUAUAAUUGCAUAUUGAACUCACUUGAAAAGAAAGAGAUAAGUUGUUUUGUUUUUGCGAUUUCUCUAGAGCCUUUGAUAAAGUUUGGCAUGAUGGUUUAUUACAUAAAAUGAAGGCUUAUGGUAUAAAUGGAAAUCUGUUAAAAUGGUUUAGAAGCUACUUAAGUGAUAGAAAACAAAGGGUGGUUAUCAAGCAAUCUUCUUCAAAACUUUGCAGUAUUUCAGCUGGAGUUCCUCAAGGGUCGGUCCUUGGACCAUUACUUUUUAUAAUAUAUAUUAAUGAUAUUGCAGAAAGACUUAUUUCUCUGUGCAGACUCUUCGCAGAUGACACAUCGUUCAGCUGUGCGGAUCGUGAUGCUUUUCAGAUAGAAACUGUGAUAAACCAUGAUCUAGAAAAGCUGAACGAAUGGUCCAAAAAAUGGUUAAUGUCUUUUAAUCCAGAUAAAACAGAAAUUAUGUUAUUUUCUAAUGUUGAAACCCCAGAAAUGAACUUUAUAUUCAAUGAUAAAAAUAUACCUAUUACAAAUAUUCAUAAACAUUUAGGGGUUACAUUUAGCAAUGAUGCUAAAUGGAAUGCCCACGUUGAUAAUAUUAUCUUAAGCACGUCUAAACAUAUAAAUAUGCUAAGGAAGUUGAAAUAUAAACUGAGCAGGAAAAAAUUUAGAAAAACUCUAUUUAGUUUUUAUAAGACCUUUAUUUGAGUAUGCAAGUGAGGUUUGGGAUAAUAUUGGGGUAGGUUAUGUCAAUAAACUGGAGCAAUUACAGCUCCAAGCUGCUAGGAUAGUUACGGGGUUACCUAUAUUCACAAGCUCAAGGGUUAUUUAUGAAGAACUUGGAUGGGAAACAUUAGCUGAAAGAAGAGAGAGAAGAAAAAUCCAAAUGUUUUAUAAUAUUCAAAAUAAUAAUGUUCCAGAAUAUUUGUCAAAUUUAAUUCCCCAAAAAAUACAAAGUAUGACGGUCUAUCCUCUACGUAAUGGAAAUGACAUCAUUAUUCCAUUCUGCAGACUAGCAUUAACUAAUGAUUCUUUUAUUCCAUCAACCAUACGUCUUUGGAAUAAUCUUGAGGAUUCAACUCGUGAUGUGGAAUCAAUUAAUAAAUUUAAAACUGAACUAAAAAACCGUUAUCCUCAGAGUAAUAUAUUUGUACCGAAGCAAUAUGAAUUUGGAAAUCGAAAAUUGAAUAUAAUUCUCACCCAACUUCGAUGUUUUGCAUCAUCCUUAAACUAUGAUCUAUAUAGGGUCAAUAUUAUUUCUGACCCUUCCUGCCGCUGUGGUGUUAAUCGUGAAGAUUCCUAUCAUUUCUUUUUUAAAUGUAUAUUAUAUUCAGACAUACGAAAUAAAAUGUAUGAAAGUCUGCGCUGGCUUCCAAAUGAUUGUAAAAUUAACAUAGAACUACUUACCUCGGGUAGUUGUCUUCUUUCUCUAGAGCAAAACCAAACCAUUUUCAAAAAUGUCUUUGAGUUUAUUAAAAGUUCGGAAAGAUUUCAAAUUGUCUAGGUAGCAAACCAUGAUCGCACACACAUCAUCAUCUAAGUAAAAUUUCUUCUCCCCUUUUUUGUCCUUUUUAUUUUUUCGUUUUUUUUGUUUUUUUUUUGUUGUUUUUUUGUUUUUUUAUUAUUAUUUGUUUUUUUUGUUGUUAUUUUUUGUUUUUUUUGUGUUUCUGUUUUCUAAAUAAUGAUUUAUAUAUUUUUAUUUUUGAUUUUUUUUUUUUCUGUAUUAUUAUUGUUUUCUUUUUCUUCAAUUUUCCGUCUUUUGAUCCAUAUUUAUAUAUAUAUUUACUAAAUAGAUAUACCAUUCUAUACAUGCAUGCUCAUACAUAUAUUUUUGUAUUAUAUUGCUAUAAAUGUUAAAUGGAGAAGACUUCAUAAGUCUGUUUGACUUGUGUCUUAUCCAAUUUGUACUUUAACAAAUAAAAUAUGUUUAAACUAAA